GCAUCUUUUUUUGUCAAGUCUUUCUCUUCAUUGAACGGUCUCUUGCUUUCUUCCUCACACACUCGACUGCUUUGGCUACAUAAUCCGAUGAAUGAAGGUGUAUCACACCAAUCCAAUGAAUGAGCUCCACACGUGGAUGAGUUUUAGAAACUAACCUGCCGAUUGGAUUAGGUGCAGCGUGUUUCAUUGAAGUAUGGUAUGAUUUUUAGUGUUAACAUUUUUU
This 223-nucleotide unclassified non-coding RNA is filed under the name Hevea brasiliensis (rubber tree). Lineage: Eukaryota; Viridiplantae; Streptophyta; Magnoliopsida; Malpighiales; Euphorbiaceae. The record is from RNAcentral.